This 85-nucleotide transfer RNA is filed under the name Felis catus (domestic cat). It matches the Rfam family "tRNA". From Rfam's summary of the family: Transfer RNA (tRNA) molecules are approximately 80 nucleotides in length. Their secondary structure includes four short double-helical elements and three loops (D, anti-codon, and T loops). Lineage: Eukaryota; Metazoa; Chordata; Mammalia; Carnivora; Felidae. The record is from Rfam by way of RNAcentral.
GCCUGUGUGGCUCAGUCGGUUAAGUGUCUGACCUCGGCUCAGGUCAUGAUCUCAUGGUUUGUGAGUUCAAGCCCCACCUCAGGUU